RNAcentral lists this ribosomal RNA (1247 nucleotides) under Klebsiella sp. Its description in RNAcentral is "bacterial SSU rRNA". The stretch from base 1 to 974 matches the Rfam family "Bacterial small subunit ribosomal RNA". Lineage: Bacteria; Pseudomonadati; Pseudomonadota; Gammaproteobacteria; Enterobacterales; Enterobacteriaceae. The record is from RNAcentral.
GGGGCGUGCGGCGGCUACACAUGCAGUAGAGCGGUAGCACAGAGAGCUUGCUCUCGAGUGACGAGCGGCGGACGGGUGAGUAAUGUCUGGGAAACUGCCUGAUGGAGGGGGAUAACUACUGGAAACGGUAGCUAAUACCGCAUAAUGUCGCAAGACCAAAGUGGGGGACCUUCGGGCCUCAUGCCAUCAGAUGUGCCCAGAUGGGAUUAGCUAGUAGGUGGGGUAACGGCUCACCUAGGCGACGAUCCCUAGCUGGUCUGAGAGGCUGACCAGCCACACUGGAACUGAGCCACGCUUAAAAUUUAUGCGGGAGGCGGCAGUGGUGAAUAUUGCGCAAUGGGCGCAAGCCUGAUGCAGCCAUGCCGCGUGUGUGAAGAAGGCCUUCGGGUUGUAAAGCACUUUCAGCGGGGAGGAAGGCGUUAAGGUUAAUAACCUUGGCGAUUGACGUUACAAGAAGAAGAAGCACCGGCUAUCUCCGUGCCAGCAGCCGCGGUAAUACGGAGGGUGCUAGCGUUAAUCUUAAUUACUGGGCGUAAAGCGCACGCAGGCGGUCUGUCAAGUCGAAUGUCAAAUCCCCGGGCUCAACCUGGGAACUGCAUUCGAAACUGGCAGGCUAGAGUCUUGGAGAGGGGGGGUAGAAUUCCAGGUGUAGCGGGGAAUGCGUAGAGAUCUGGAGGAAUACCGGUGGCGAACCCCGCCCCCCUGGACAAAGACUGACGCUCAGGUGCGAGAGCGUGGAGGAGCAAACUAGAAUUAGAUACCCUGGCAGUCCACGCCGUAAACGAUGUCGAUUUGGAGGUUGUGCCCUUGAAGCCGUGCCUUCCGGAGCUAACGCGUUAAAUCGGACGGCCUGGGGGAGUACGGGCAGUAAAGAUUAAAAAUUCAUAGUGAGUUUGACCGCCGGGCCCGCCACAAAGCGGGUGGAUGUUUGUGUGUUUUAAUUUCGAUGGCAAACGCAAAGGAUCUUUUAUCUUGAUCUUAGAAAUUUCCACAGAACUUUUCCAAGAUAUGCUUUGGAUGCCCUUCAGGAAACCGGUUAAGACAGUUGCCUGCUUCCUUGUCUUUCAGUUUCGUGUUGAUGAAUUGUUCGGAUUAAGAUCACGCAACUGACCUCUAUUCCUUUAUUCUUUGUUGGCCCAGCGCAUAGCCAGGAACUCAAGAAAACUCUUGCAAGGGAUAGAGUGGGGAAUAGAGUGUCAUUAGCCCUCAGUCUUACUCGGACCUUUUCAACACCGGUCUUCAUACAC